Molecule: unclassified non-coding RNA, 314 nt
Filed under: Hevea brasiliensis (rubber tree)
Lineage: Eukaryota; Viridiplantae; Streptophyta; Magnoliopsida; Malpighiales; Euphorbiaceae
Source: RNAcentral
GCAGGCUAGCAUUAAUGAGGUACUUUCCCCAAUUCCCAAUAUUAUUAAUUGAUGCAGUAAUUUGAUUAUCACUUCUUGGAUUUCAUGAUAUGAAAAAUACAUCUUUCACUUUGGUGGGCUCUGCCUAAUUUGACUGGAAACUUGCUUCUGGGAAAUUUAAGCCAUACACCUUGGGUGGGAUAGUUGAUUGCUAACUCAUGUUUGUUUUCAUUUUAUAAAGCUACUAGUGCUAGAGAAUCACACUUGCGUUGGCUUUGAGCAUGUGUUGGUGGAAAUUAAUUCAACUUUUCGUUUCUUUCUUUCUUCUUCUUCUU